AUGGCCUUCAGAUCAGCUGCCUGCUUCACACCAACUUUCAGCUUAAAAGGAACAACACAUGAGGUCAUUGUGCAGAAGAUAGUGACAGGUGAAAAGCAAGCAAGUGCAACAAGAAGGGUGUCAUCCCACCAUGUCAGUAUGCCAGCUGGGUGCAGAGGUGCACCAGGUAUGGAUGCCUGGGUCCUGCUGGGCACCAAAGGAUUCUGCCAGAGCACAGCCUUGCAGCAGCCUCACCUCCUGUGCACGGAAGUUGUACUCCAGAGAGUACUGAAGUCUUCCUCGUCCUGUCUCCUCUGGGCCCUGCUCCAGGUCCUCCAUCUCAGGCUGCACCUAUGGCAAAGAGCAACACAACCCUCAGGACAAGGUUCCAGAGCCUUGUGUUUCCCCAUACUAAGUUGCAUGGAUGGGACCCCCAGGUCUGCUGAAAGCCCAUGGCGACAAAGUUCACAUNNNNNNNNNNNNNNNNNNNNNNNNNNNNNNNUUCCUGCUCUCCAUCCUGGCAUGAUGCAUCAUAUGGAUCAAUUUGCUCUAAAAACACAUUUAAUCCCCAAUCCAAGCCCAAUUGUACACCCACAGGCAUUCCCACCACUCUGGGCAUGUGCUGAGGAGAUGGGCAUCACAGAGCAAACCUCCCUGCUAGGAGAGCACCAGGGGACAGGAGAAAGCAGGACGCACAAGGCUGGCUGUGGUGGAGCCACUGAAGGUGAGCAAUCCAACUUUCUCCUUCUUCUUGGGCUUCUUUUUGCCACAGCAGCACCUGAUGAUGCAGAUGAGGAAGAGGAGGAGGAGAACAGCCACUGCCGCUGCCACAGCAAUGAGCGCCCAUCUGGGUACUGGUGCAAUGAAUUAAACAGAAGAGUUAAAGCCAAACAAAACCACACAAAGUGCAUUUACAACGCCCUCCUCGUGUUUCGGCAUUACAAAGAUAUGUCUUGGGGCUUGAGCUUAAAAUCCUGGAGAAGAUCACUAGAAUCACCAAAUCCAACUGCAGCCCAACCUUGUCAUUCUCACUGA
Molecule: long non-coding RNA, 1014 nt
Filed under: Chrysolophus pictus (golden pheasant)
Lineage: Eukaryota; Metazoa; Chordata; Aves; Galliformes; Phasianidae
Description: lncRNA (ENSCPIG00010003814.1)
Source: RNAcentral